Molecule: small nuclear RNA, 109 nt
Filed under: Erythranthe guttata (spotted monkey flower)
Lineage: Eukaryota; Viridiplantae; Streptophyta; Magnoliopsida; Lamiales; Phrymaceae
Source: RNAcentral
UAUAAACAUACUUAAUAAUAAAAUUAUAAACUUGGACCGAUACAAAGAAGAUUAGUAUCGUGCAUGCGCAAGGAUGACACCCACAAAUCGAGAUAUGGUCCAAAUUUUU